CUGUAAACCAACGCCGUUCAGUUGUGCAUCUUGUACGCCUUUUGGUACCCAUUUGCUGUGCUAGGCACCCUUUGCAAAGGAGUACCCAAAAAGUGGUACGGUAUGGUUCGCUUUUAGGUACCUUUUAAACAUACCCCUCAGUGAAAACGGGCCAUUGGAGGACAGUGCUAUGAUUGCUGUAAGGCGACACAGUGCUAACCACUGAGCCACCGUGCCACCCCACUAAAAGAGAUUCACCCCCUCUUUUACUCAAUUGAAAUUCCCUUCAAUUUACUCCCCCUUAGGACAUCCAAGAUGGAUUUUGUCUUCUGGCCAGCAAGCACAUAGACGUCAAAACAACAUCAAGUUGACAAUUUAAUGCAAAAACGUUACAUCAUGGGAAACUCAUGGAAAAUGAUUGCUCCCCCGUGAUGAUUUGUAAACUGUAUGCUCUGACAAAGAACUACUCAUGCAGAAAUUAUAACAAUCUAUCAAUAAACACUCACCUUCUGCUCUGCACUGCUUCAGUCAGUUUAAUUAUGGCCUAGUGAGAUCAAAUCAAUCAAAUGACCUAUACUGUAUACACUGAGACAAAUAUUAGCAAAUGAUCCAAUGUAGUAAAGGUGUUUUUAAGGUUAUACUUAAAACAGUAUUAUGUAAGACACUGUGUUAAUGAGCUUUCUUUGAUAAUCUUCAUUUAAGCAUAGAUGGUGUUUUGCUGCUUCCUGAAUUCAUUUCAAGUGAAAAUGUAAUUUAGAAAACAUGUAGAGGCACAUUUUUCCAGUAAACCCGUGUAGCUUUUCAGUCAUGUUAACAGCAUCGCUGAUUGCCAUAUUGAAAUCCAUUCCCCACGCAAUACUGUUUGAAAUAACACCAAACAGCUACAUUGUAUCCAAACAGGUGAUGCAAGCAAUUUUUGAGUCUGAUCCGAGGCAGCUUUGGGAAGCCGUUGCUUUGAAUAAAUGCUCAUAGCCUCGCUCCUUUAACGGAUCAGUCAAAACCACUUUGCACUCGCAUAGAUCUUCAUUAGGCUUCGUUAAACUUUUCUGUUCAGAGAAAAAAGGUCUAUGUGUGCACAUUCUUGUGUUGUCCCUUUUGCUUCCUUCGCAGGCAGGAUGUGAGUUCAGCUGGGAGCUGAUCCUUUGCAGAAACAAUGGCUGAGAUGCACGUCAGACUAGGCCAGCUGUGUCUCCAGCAAAGAAACGAGACAGGAAAUGAUGGGCUCCUGAAAGAAGCUCUGACAUAUACAGUACUACUGUGCUCUGCACUGGACACAGAGAGGGUCCACAUGCACACACACUUUACCUACACUUACCACAGUUUCAUGUGAAAAACGAUCAUAGAUCAUUAUCUCACAUUACAGUUUAUACUUUGUCCGGGUAUGCUUUUCUUUGCUAAGAGCAAGCACUGAAAUUAUAUUUAAUGAAAUAAUAGCUCUGAGGGCUGCUGCCUUGUUUGUUCUCUCCGUUUAUGAAAAUGUACUUAAAUAGAGCGACUUUCAUUCCCUUGAAGUCUUUUACCGAUUUCAAUAUUUGAACAUGACUUUUCCGUCAUAUAGGCUCCUCCAAGGAAAAUAAAUUUCCUGGUUUCGUUGCCAUUUCACAGGAAUCAAGAGGACAAACAAAAACAUCUAGAAAUAGUUAAGAGAUCUGCUACCACAAUAUCACUUCAGUAGGUCACUACUGAUCAUUUGGACCACGGAAAAAACUUGAG
Non-coding RNA from Danio rerio (zebrafish), 1692 nucleotides. The record is from RefSeq and is a predicted model, not a curated record. Lineage: Eukaryota; Metazoa; Chordata; Actinopteri; Cypriniformes; Danionidae.